GUCAGUGAAUGCUAUUCUGGAGAACUUGAAGACAGUUUAUUCUCAGCUCCAACAGUCUGCUUUGCAUUAUCAAUUUGUUAAGAAACUCUCUCUCUCUUUUUUUUUCGUGUAGAACUGUGCAAAAAGCAACUUCCAUCCAGACUGUCUGAAUUAUCCAAAAAUUCUGAACUGAUGGCAUCCAAAUGAAUAAGACUUUACAGAGCUGCACUGGGAGAAUUGAUUGGAUUUGUCAGUUUUCCUGUGGAUACGAAGUCCUGGGUGGCUUGACUCCCAAAGAACUGACCACCCGUGAGCUGGAAAACAGACCUCAAAGCAGGAAAGAAACAGAAGUGUCCAAAGAAGAUGUGGAAAACACAACCCAGAAAAAGCUGACCCUCAAGAAAGAAGUCCGGUGAGUGGAGUCGGGGGUAGAUUUCCUGAUGGUUUCUCAAGGCUGCCGGGGUCCUGCUUUCUGGGUGAGAAUGUGAUUGAAGACAAGCAUUGUCUAUUUUACAAAGUCCCAGAGAAUUUGGAUCCCAGAUGUGGUAGACGAUGCUCUUAGAUCUGGGGUUGCAAAGUCCACAUCUACCCAGACCGGGCAGGAAAUGUAAAUGACCGAGUGAACUGAGUGUAAGAUGAUACUAGACAGCUGACACUCAGUCCUGGGGGCUGUGAGGAGAUGGGGGGCUGUGAGGAGAUGGGGGACAGACCUCAAUUAAAGAGAGCAGCUGCUGACCCCUAGCCACUGGUUGCCUGUGGAAAGGUGGGUUCAGUGUUGACAAUUGUUCUGAGGUAUCAAAAGAAUCUCCAAUCCUUGAUUUUCAUGAGCAAUCUGCUUUCAAAAGGAUUGGCAUUGAAUGCACAGUUUUAAAGUCGUCCGAGGGCUUUCCCCUCUUUCUCAUUAAUAGGCCUCAUGAUGGCCGUGGACUCCCAAUUGUGGCCCUCCUUUUAAGACCCUUGGAGUAGCAGAGGGUGCUUAAUUCUACCCCUUCAUUCUACUUAUGCGGAAGAUGGACCCCGGGUUCAUCUUAAGUCACACACAACGGUGUCUGUGGCAGAGCUAGGAGAGGACUGGUUCUGAGUUCUGCCUCUCUUUCUUUCUCAACACAGAUUCCAGACCGGUGUCAGUUUCCAGAACUGAAGAGCUAUAUGUGCUGAGUGAGGACAUAUUAAGUUUCCUGCUUUCCAUGGAGAAAAGCAAAUGCUACCCUAGCCCUUAAUUAAGGAUGUUAUCAUUGGUGACAGUGAUGGUAAAUAUCAGAAGGAGUGCUUUGAGCAGCAAAUAACAGAAAAUUCUGAGUCAAAUCGACUUAAACAAUUCAUCAGAUUCUUACCUUUCAUGCCUGGAAAGUCAGAGGAAGGGUAUGCCCCAGGUCCAGUGAGA
Molecule: long non-coding RNA, 1363 nt
Filed under: Bos indicus x Bos taurus (hybrid cattle)
Lineage: Eukaryota; Metazoa; Chordata; Mammalia; Artiodactyla; Bovidae
Description: lncRNA (ENSBIXG00005006295.1)
Source: RNAcentral